CAGUCGCCGCGGGAAUACGAAGGGGGCUAGCGUUGUUCGGAUUUACUGGGCGUAAAGCGCACGUAGGCGGAUCGAUCAGUCAGGGGUGAAAUCCCAGAGCUCAACUCUGGAACUGCCUUUGAUACUGUCGAUCUGGAGUAUGGAAGAGGUGAGUGGAAUUCCGAGUGUAGAGGUGAAAUUCGUAGAUAUUCGGAGGAACACCAGUGGCGAAGGCGGCUCACUGGUCCAUUACUGACGCUGAGGUGCGAAAGCGUGGGGAGCAAACAGGAUUAGAUACCCCGGUAGUCCCUGUCUCUUAUAC
Molecule: ribosomal RNA, 301 nt
Filed under: uncultured bacterium
Lineage: Bacteria
Description: partial 16S ribosomal RNA
Rfam family: Bacterial small subunit ribosomal RNA
Source: RNAcentral